CCCUUAGAUGUUCUGGGCUUCACGCGCGCUACACUGACGAGGACAUCGAGUGUAUUCCUUGACCGGAAGGUCCGGGUAAUCUUGAAAACCUCGUCGUGCUGGGGAUAGAUUAUUGUAAUUAUUAAUCUUCAACGAGGAAUUCCUAGUAAACGUGAGUCAUCAGCUCGCAUUGAUUACGUCCCUGCCCUUUGUACACACCGCCCGUCGCUCCUACCGAUUGAAUGGUCCGGUGAAUUCUUUGGACUCCGUGCGGGCUUCUGGCAACAGAACCCACUUGGGGGAAAUUGUGUAAACCUUACCAUUUAGAGGAAGGAGAANUCGUANCA
RNAcentral lists this ribosomal RNA (326 nucleotides) under uncultured eukaryote. Its description in RNAcentral is "partial 18S ribosomal RNA". It matches the Rfam family "Eukaryotic small subunit ribosomal RNA", at positions 1470 to 1796 of the family's 1831-position model. The record is from RNAcentral.